AAUAAGUGCAGUUUUAGCACUGUUUAUGUCUGUUUGACCAUUCAUCUUAUUUAAAAAAAAUGUAUAAUUAGUAUUUUUAUUGUUAUUACAUGAUAAAACAUGGGUAGUACUUUAUGUGUGACUAUUUUUUUUAAUUUUUUCAUAAAUUUUUCAAAUAAGACGAACGGUCAAAACGCUAAACACGGAUAUCUAUGGCUGCACUUAUU
Molecule: microRNA precursor, 206 nt
Organism: Oryza rufipogon (brownbeard rice)
Lineage: Eukaryota; Viridiplantae; Streptophyta; Magnoliopsida; Poales; Poaceae
Rfam family: MIR812 microRNA precursor family
Source: Rfam